Molecule: ribosomal RNA, 460 nt
Filed under: uncultured bacterium
Lineage: Bacteria
Description: partial 16S ribosomal RNA
Rfam family: Bacterial small subunit ribosomal RNA
Source: RNAcentral
CCUACGGGUGGCAGCAGUGAGGAAUAUUGGUCAAUGGACGUAAGUCUGAACCAGCCAAGUAGCGUGAGGGAUGACUGCCCUAUGGGUUGUAAACUUCUUUUAUAUGGGACUAAAUCGGUCCCCGUGUGUGCUUUUGUAUAUACCCUAUGAAUCAGGCUCGGUUCACCCCGUGCCAUCCACCGCGGUAAAACGGAGGAUCCGAGCGUUCUACGGAUUUAUUGGGUGUAAAGGGAGCGCAUGUGGAUUGUUAAGUGAGUUGUGAAAGUUUGCGGCUCAACCGUAAAAGUGCAGUUGAAACUGGCAGUCUUGAGUACAGUAGAGGUGGGCGGAAGUCGUGGUGUAGCGGUGAAAUGCUUAGAUAUCACGAAGAACUCAGAGUGCGAAGGCAGCUGACUGGACUGCAACUGACACUGAGGCUCGAAAGUGUGGGUAUCAAACAGGAUUAGAUACCCGAGUAGUC